Molecule: transfer RNA, 76 nt
Filed under: Chloroflexota bacterium
Lineage: Bacteria; Bacillati; Chloroflexota
Description: Chloroflexi bacterium tRNA-Lys
Rfam family: tRNA
About the family: Transfer RNA (tRNA) molecules are approximately 80 nucleotides in length.
Source: RNAcentral
GGGCCUCUAGCUCAAUUGGUAGAGCAGCGGACUCUUAAUCCGCGGGUUCAGGGUUCGAGUCCCUGGAGGCUCAUCA